AAGUCGUAACAAGGUAACCGUAGGUGAACCUGCGGUUGGAUCAUUAACAAUAUUAUGAUCGGGAUAAAUUGAGUCUCUGGAGUGAUUGGAUUUGGUUCCUCCUCUGGGCUCAUAUUGACCCAAGACCCCAACAUCUUUGUGAACUGUUUUAAACCUUUUGUUUGGCCAAUGGUUGGGAAGCCCCCCGGGAUUCCUUUCCAGUGUCCAGACAAUACCAACCUAAUUCAUAUUUGUCAUAAUGAUACAAUUUUUUUUCUUUAAAACAAGAAACAACUUUUGGCAACGGAUCUCUUGGCUCUC
This 300-nucleotide unclassified non-coding RNA is filed under the name fungal sp. Its description in RNAcentral is "partial internal transcribed spacer region". The stretch from base 1 to 46 matches the Rfam family "Eukaryotic small subunit ribosomal RNA", at positions 1786 to 1831 of the family's 1831-position model. The record is from RNAcentral. Lineage: Eukaryota; Fungi.